GAUGAAGAACGUAGCGAAAUGCGAUAAGUAAUGCGAAUUGCAGAAUUUCCGUGAGUCAUCGAAUCUUUGAACGCACAUUGCGCCCACUGGUAUUCCGGUGGGCAUGCCUGUUCGAGCGUCAUUAUCCUCCCUCAAACCCCGGGUUUGGUGUUGGACCCAAGUUGUGUGAACAACUGGUCUCAAAGACAAUGACGGCGUCCGUGGGACCCUCGGUGCAACGAGCUUUUAGGAGCACGCAUCGAGUUGCAAGGACCUUCCGGGCCGGUCUCCUUUACCAUUUUACAAGGUUGACCUCGGAUCAGGUAGGAAUACCCGCUGAACUUAAGCAUAGCAAUAAGCGGAGGA
This 345-nucleotide unclassified non-coding RNA is filed under the name soil metagenome. Its description in RNAcentral is "partial contains 5.8S ribosomal RNA, internal transcribed spacer 2, and large subunit ribosomal RNA". The stretch from base 1 to 121 matches the Rfam family "5.8S ribosomal RNA", at positions 35 to 154 of the family's 154-position model. The record is from RNAcentral.